Molecule: non-coding RNA, 212 nt
Organism: Caenorhabditis elegans
Lineage: Eukaryota; Metazoa; Nematoda; Chromadorea; Rhabditida; Rhabditidae
Source: Ensembl
GACAACGAGCAUAAAACAUGUAUUAGAAAAUAAAAAAUAACUAUUAAUACCAAUUCCAUGAAUAACUAUUAAAAAAUGGAAUGAUUGAAUUGGGAUCAUGAGAUUUAUGAAAUCUAGAAAAAUAUCAAAACACUCAGAAAAUGAUACCAUGUUUGUGCCCAAUGCCUAAUGCCUAAUAUCCUCUUGACCCUAUUAAGUACUUCCAGGUUGAA